RNAcentral lists this ribosomal RNA (401 nucleotides) under uncultured soil bacterium. RNAcentral describes it as "bacterial SSU rRNA". It matches the Rfam family "Bacterial small subunit ribosomal RNA", at positions 26 to 412 of the family's 1533-position model. The record is from RNAcentral.
AGGACGAACGCUGGCGGCGCGCUUAACACAUGCAAGUCGUACGGGGCCCUUCGGGGUUCAGUGGCGAACGGGUGCGUAACACGUGAGUGACCUGCCCUUGUGCGGGGGAUAACCCGGGGAAACCCGGGCUAAUACCGCAUGCACUCCAGUGGCUUCAUGGCUGUUGGAGGAAAAGUGCUGUAAGGCACUGCGCAGGGAGGGGCUCGCGGCGUAUCAGGUAGUUGGUGAGGUAACGGCUCACCAAGCCGAUGACGCGUAGGGGGUCUGAGAGGAUCGGGCCCCCCCAGACGUUGGGACUGAGAUACGGCCCAGACUCCGUACGGGAGCAGCAGGUGGGGAAUCGUGCGCAAAUCGGGACCGAAAGGGCUAGGACGCAGGCGGACGCCGCGGUCGGCGGGGAU